CAACAUUUGCUACUUCCUCAAAGUUGACAAGAUUGCACACUUGAUACUUCGAUGAAAAGUUAUUUUUGCUUCUUGGUCGGCUUAUUCCUAGUGUGCCUGAGUUCAGCCAUUGGUUUGGUAGUCUUCUUCCCCUUUGAUUGUGUUCUACUAGAGAGCUUGUGAUCCUUGCCCUGUUCAUAAUCAUCAUCACUGUCACUGGCAUCAUUAUAUAGUCGUCAUCUUCAUCCUCACUUUUCUCUAGUUUUCUUUUAGCAACCGUAUUUGUUCCUCUUGUUUUCUUCUUUUGAUCACCAUCUUUUUUUUUCCCUUGGAGC
RNAcentral lists this long non-coding RNA (314 nucleotides) under Capsicum annuum. RNAcentral's name for it is "long non-coding RNA (CANN_LNC014698)". Lineage: Eukaryota; Viridiplantae; Streptophyta; Magnoliopsida; Solanales; Solanaceae. The record is from RNAcentral.